GAUGGAUAACAGGUUGAUAUUCCUGUACCACCUAUAAUCGUUUAAUCGAUGGGGGACGCAGUAGGAUAGGCGAAGCGUGCGAUUGGAUUGCACGUCUAAGCAGUAAGGCUGAGUAUUAGGCAAAUCCGGUACUCGUUAAGGCUGAGCUGUGAUGGGGAGAAGACAUUGUGUCUUCGAGUCGUUGAUUUCACACUGCCGAGAAAAGCCUCUAGAUAGAAAAUAGGUGCCCGUACCGCAAACCGACACAGGUAGUCAAGAUGAGAAUUCUAAGGUGAGCGAGCGAACUCUCGUUAAGGAACUCGGCAAAAUGACCCCGUAACUUCGGGAGAAGGGGUGCUCUUUAGGGUUAACGCCCAGAAGAGCCGCAGUGAAUAGGCCCAAGCGACUGUUUAUCAAAAACACAGGUCUCUGCUAAACCGUAAGGUGAUGUAUAGGGGCUGACGCCUGCCCGGUGCUGGAAGGUUAAGAGGAGUGGUUAGCUUCUGCGAAGCUACGAAUCGAAGCCCCAGUAAACGGCGGCCGUAACUAUAACGGUCCUAAGGUAGCGAAAUUCCUUGUCGGGUAAGUUCCGACCCGCACGAAAGGCGUAACGAUUUGGGCACUGUCUCAACGAGAGACUCGGUGAAAUCAUAGUACCUGUGAAGAUGCAGGUUACCCGCGACAGGACGGAAAGACCCCGUGGAGCUUUACUGUAGCCUGAUAUUGAAAUUCGGCACAGCUUGUACAGGAUAGGUAGGAGCCUUUGAAACGUGAGCGCUAGCUUACGUGGAGGCGCUGGUGGGAUACUACCCUAGCUGUGUUGGCUUUCUAACCCGCACCACUUAUCGUGGUGGGAGACAGUGUCAGGCGGGCAGUUUGACUGGGGCGGUCGCCUCCUAAAAGGUAACGGAGGCGCUCAAAGGUUCCCUCAGAAUGGUUGGAAAUCAUUCAUAGAGUGUAAAGGCAUAAGGGAGCUUGACUGCGAGACCUACAAGUCGAGCAGGGUCGAAAGACGGACUUAGUGAUCCGGUGGUUCCGCAUGGAAGGGCCAUCGCUCAACGGAUAAAAGCUACCCCGGGGAUAACAGGCUUAUCUCCCCCAAGAGUUCACAUCGACGGGGAGGUUUGGCACCUCGAUGUCGGCUCAUCGCAUCCUGGGGCUGUAGUCGGUCCCAAGGGUUGGGCUGUUCGCCCAUUAAAGCGGUACGCGAGCUGGGUUCAGAACGUCGUGAGACAGUUCGGUCCCUAUCCGUCGUGGGCGUAGGAAAUUUGAGAGGAGCUGUCCUUAGUACGAGAGGACCGGGAUGGACAUACCUCUGGUGUACCAGUUGUCGUGCCAACGGCAUAGCUGGGUAGCUAUGUGUGGACGGGAUAAGUGCUGAAAGCAUCUAAGCAUGAAGCCCCCCUCAAGAUGAGAUUUCCCAACUUCGGUUAUAAGAUCCCUCAAAGAUGAUGAGGUUAAUAGGUUCGAGGUGGAAGCAUGGUGACAUGUGGAGCUGACGAAUACUAAUCGAUCGAAGACUUAAUCA
RNAcentral lists this ribosomal RNA (1507 nucleotides) under Staphylococcus aureus subsp. aureus CIG547. RNAcentral's name for it is "bacterial LSU rRNA". It matches the Rfam family "Bacterial large subunit ribosomal RNA", at positions 1417 to 2925 of the family's 2925-position model. The record is from RNAcentral. Lineage: Bacteria; Bacillati; Bacillota; Bacilli; Caryophanales; Staphylococcaceae.